GCACCGCGCCCUCUCCGGCGCGGACUCUCCUUCGCGCGGGGUUGGAGGCACCGCAUUGGGACUUGCGCUGGCGCUGGCUGUGCCGCUCCGCACCGCCCACCCGCUUCACGAAACACACGGGCAUCGCCCUCCACGCAGUCGAGUCAAGUGCAUCUUCAUCAUCGCCCAGAAGGAACGGUUCUUCCCCCUGCCAGGCACCUUGGCACAGCCCAUACCUGGACGCUUUUCGGCAACCCCUGUUGACAUCUCACCUCCCCUGUUCCUCGGUGUCUUCAUCAGUCAGCCCCUCGCCUACUUGCAUUUGCCUCACGUCCCCCAACAGCUGGAGGAACACCCCACCUAGUGUUUUAUGACACCCAAGGAUCUCCCCUCUCCACACCCUCCACCCUUCUCUCUCUCAUUGCAGGCGUAGGAGCCUCAUGGAGAAGACCUCUGAUGUCCCUCAACCUUUGCCACAUUGCAACUUAGUGCAUCUUGGUCUCCCCCUUACCAGGGACACUGCUGGCACCAG
This is a long non-coding RNA of Myotis lucifugus (little brown bat), 511 nucleotides long. RefSeq lists it as uncharacterized. NCBI's taxonomy places the organism in Eukaryota, Metazoa, Chordata, Mammalia, Chiroptera, Vespertilionidae. The transcript has 3 exons. The record is from RefSeq and is a predicted model, not a curated record.